UACGAAGGGGGCUAGCGUUGCUCGGAAUCACUGGGCGUAAAGCGCACGUAGGCGGAUCGUUAAGUCAGGGGUGAAAUCCUGGAGCUCAACUCCAGAACUGCCUUUGAUACUGGCGACCUUGAGUUCGGGAGAGGUGAGUGGAACUGCGAGUGUAGAGGUGAAAUUCGUAGAUAUUCGCAAGAACACCAGUGGCGAAGGCGGCUCACUGGCCCGAUAUUGACGCUGAGGUGCGAAAGCGUGGGGAGCAAACAGG
Molecule: ribosomal RNA, 253 nt
Filed under: uncultured bacterium
Lineage: Bacteria
Description: partial 16S ribosomal RNA
Rfam family: Bacterial small subunit ribosomal RNA
Source: RNAcentral